AGUGAACGCUGGCGGUAGGCCUAACACAUGCAAGUCGAACGGCAGCACAGUAAGAGCUUGCUCUUACGGGUGGCGAGUGGCGGACGGGUGAGGAAUACAUCGGAAUCUACUUUUUCGUGGGGGAUAACGUAGGGAAACUUACGCUAUACCGCAUACGACCUACGGGGGGAAGCAAGGGUACCUUAGACCUUGCCCCUAUGAAUGAGCCGACGUUGGAUUAGCUAAUUGGCGGGGUAAAGGCCCACCAAGGGGACGGACCGUACCUGGGCUGAGAGGAUGAUCAGCCACACUGGAACUGAGACACGGUCCAGACUCCUACGGGAGGCAGCAGUGGGGAAUAUUGGACAAGGGGCGCAAGCCUGAUCCAGCCAUACCGCGUGGGUGAAGAAGGCCUUCGGGUUGUAAAGCCCUUUUGUUGGGAAAGAAAAGCAGCAGGUUAAUACCCCGCUGUUCUGACGGUACCCAAAGAAUAAGCACCGGCUAACUUCGUG
This 491-nucleotide ribosomal RNA is filed under the name uncultured bacterium. Its description in RNAcentral is "partial 16S ribosomal RNA". It matches the Rfam family "Bacterial small subunit ribosomal RNA", at positions 29 to 507 of the family's 1533-position model. The record is from RNAcentral.